RNAcentral lists this long non-coding RNA (1356 nucleotides) under Homo sapiens (human). RNAcentral's name for it is "HSALNT0028093". The record is from RNAcentral. Lineage: Eukaryota; Metazoa; Chordata; Mammalia; Primates; Hominidae.
CUGGGACACAGUCAUGCACCACCAUGCCUGGCUAAUUUUUAAAAUUUUUUGUAGAGAUGGGUUUCUCUUUAUGUUGCCAAGCCUGGCCUCAAAGUCUUGGGCUCAAGCAAUCCACCCUGUUCGGCUUCCCAAAGUGAUGAGAUUGCAGGCAUGAGUCACCACAUCCAGCCUCAAAUGCUUUUUUGUACUUUAAUGAGAUCAUAUAUUUUUAUUAAUAUGGUGAAUGAUACUGGUUAUUUUUUACAUUUUAAAUUCACUUUGCAUUCAUCAUAUAAACCCCACUUGGUCAUGGUGCAUUACCCUUCUUAUAAAUUGCUGGACUUAAUUUGCUUAUACCGUGUUAAGGAUUUUUGAAUGUAUGAUUAGGAGACAUAUUGAACUUAAGCUGCGUGGACUUAGAAUUUUCUUUGUGGAAUCGAUCAUCGUGGCAGACAGGAGGCAGGAUUAGAUUGCAGCUCUGACUCAGAGCAGCGUGCGGAGGCUCGCAUUGUGAAUUUUAGCUCCAGAUAAACUUCAAGAACAAACCAGCAAUCCUGAGAGGACCCACAGACCCUCUGAAAAAAGCGGACUGUUCCUGCAACACCCAGGAGACACCCCAAAUACUGUGAGUGACCCAACUGCGGAAGCGGGAAAGGGAGAUCCUCCUCUCCUGAACACACACCCCCACUGGAGAAACUGAAGAUGAAGAAUCUGAGGCACAAAGAGGUCAACUGGCUUGCCCAAGGGUACUUGGCAGAAGGUGAGCUCUGAUAUAGUGCUUUAGUGCACGGACUCAGAAAGUGGAUGAGCUAAGACAUUCAUGAAGCUGUGUAAGAGAGAAAGGCUCAUCACCUUUGCAGAUGACACAAGCCUUUUAUGCGGGAAUCAAAGAAGAACAUGAGAGGCCAGAACACCGGAUUGAAACCAGCAAUUUGACCUUUAAAAGGUAUAAAGUACUGCUUUUAGGUUUAAAUAGUUAACUGCACAAGCCAGAGACACACAGCUUGGUAGCACACUUCUAGCAAAAAAUCCUUUGCUUUUAAUUGACUGCAAGAUCAAUUUAUCUCCGAGUAGCCCAUGAGAGCUAAUACAUGAAACCCAAACUUAGCUUUACUAAUUGGUACAUAGUAGGGGUGCUACUCUUUUCUGCUGGUGUGAAAUCAUAACUGAAAUUUUGGACUCAGUUUCUAAUAAAAAUUUAGGAAGAACCUUAAUCAAUUGUAACUGCAGAAAAAAAAUCACAUGAUUUUGAGUGAAUUAAAUAUCAUGUUUUCUCAUUUUAUAAGCUAUGGUUAAAAAACUGGAUAUAUCCCAGAAAAAUGAAUUUUUAGAAAUUCGGUGGAACUGUGAUCUGAGAAAAUGGUUGUGAAAAUGGGA